This 202-nucleotide non-coding RNA is filed under the name Candidatus Heritagella intestinalis. The record is from RNAcentral. Lineage: Bacteria; Bacillati; Bacillota; Clostridia. RNAcentral also lists the same sequence under 1 other name.
AGAACUGAUUGUUCGACAGGUGGAAUGACGGAGUAACGCCCCGAAACGCCUGCUCUAAUCCUCCGAAUGGCAUGACGGUUAUCAAGAACUGGAUUGUCAUAAGCUCGGUGAAGUCGGCUGAGAGCACACCCUAAAGACGCAGAAAUGUGGCACAGGAACAGCGAACCAGAGGUGGUCGAGUGUGUGAUAGGCCGGGAGUCCA